UACGUAGGAGGCAAGCGUUGUCCGGAUUUACUGGGCGUAAAGAGCGUGUAGGCGGUAGAGCAAGUCUGCUGUGAAAUCUCCAGGCUCAACUUGGAGGGGUCAGUGGAAACUGCUCGACUUGAGGACGGUAGAGGGGGGUGGAAUUCCCGGUGUAGUGGUGAAAUGCGUAGAUAUCGGGAGGAACACCAGCGGCGAAGGCGGCCCCCUGGGCCGCUCCUGACGCUGAGACGCGAAGGCCAGGGUAGCGAACGGG
This 253-nucleotide ribosomal RNA is filed under the name uncultured bacterium. RNAcentral's name for it is "partial 16S ribosomal RNA". It matches the Rfam family "Bacterial small subunit ribosomal RNA", at positions 524 to 776 of the family's 1533-position model. The record is from RNAcentral.